GCCGGGGUGGCGGAAUUGGUAGACGCGAAGGACUUAAAAUCCUUUGGGCCCGAAAGGUCCGUGCGGGUUCGACCCCCGCCCUCGGUA
Molecule: transfer RNA, 87 nt
Filed under: Bacteroidota bacterium
Lineage: Bacteria; Pseudomonadati; Bacteroidota
Description: tRNA-Leu
Rfam family: tRNA
About the family: Transfer RNA (tRNA) molecules are approximately 80 nucleotides in length. Their secondary structure includes four short double-helical elements and three loops (D, anti-codon, and T loops).
Source: RNAcentral